GAAAGAUGGCUUUGGCUAUCACUCUGGGAUGGACCCGCGGUGCAUUAGCUAGUUGGUAAGGUAACGGCUUACCAAGGCGAUGAUGCAUAGCCGAGUUGAGAGACUGAUCGGCCACAAUGGAACUGAGACACGGUCCAUACUCCUACGGGAGGCAGCAGUAGGGAAUCUUCCACAAUGGGCGCAAGCCUGAUGGAGCAACACCGCGUGAGUGAAGAAGGGUUUCGGCUCGUAAAGCUCUGUUGUUGGAGAAGAACGUGCGUGAGAGUAACUGUUCACGCAGUGACGGUAUCCAACCAGAAAGUCACGGCUAACUACGUGCCAGCAGCCGCGGUAAUACGUAGGUGGCAAGCGUUAUCCGGAUUUAUUGAGCGUAAAGCGAGCGCAGGCGGUUGCUUAGGUCUGAUGUGAAAGCCUUCGGCUUAACCGAAGAAGUGCAUCGGAAACCGGGCGACUUGAGUGCAGAAGAGGACAGUGGAACUCCAUGUGUAGCGGUGGAAUGCGUAGAUAUAUGGAAGAACACCAGUGGCGAAGGCGGCUGUCUGGUCUGCAACUGACGCUGAGGCUCGAAAGCAUGGGUAGCGAACAGGAUUAGAUACCCUGGUAGUCCAUGCCGUAAAC
RNAcentral lists this ribosomal RNA (618 nucleotides) under uncultured bacterium. RNAcentral describes it as "bacterial SSU rRNA". It matches the Rfam family "Bacterial small subunit ribosomal RNA", at positions 202 to 807 of the family's 1533-position model. The record is from RNAcentral.